Molecule: ribosomal RNA, 253 nt
Filed under: uncultured bacterium
Lineage: Bacteria
Description: partial 16S ribosomal RNA
Rfam family: Bacterial small subunit ribosomal RNA
Source: RNAcentral
UACGAAGGGGGCUAGCGUUGUUCGGAAUUACUGGGCGUAAAGGGCUUGUAGGUGGCCAACUAAGUCAGACGUGAAAUCCCACGGCUUAACCGAGGAACUGCGUCUGAUACUGGAUGGCUUGAGUGUGGGAGAGGGAUGCGGAAUUCCAGGUGUAGCGGUGAAAUGCGUUGAUAUCGAUAGGAACUCCGGUGGCGAAGGCGGCAUACUGGACCACCUCUGACGCUGAGGCGCGAAAGCCAGGGGAGCAAACGGG